CCUCCGUGAGGCAGCAGUGGGGAAUAUUGCACACUGGGGGAAACCCUGAUGCAGCGAAGCCGCUUGAGUGAAGAAGUAAUUCGUUAUGUAAAGCUCUAUCAGCAGGGCAGAACAUGACGGUACCUGAGUAAGCAGCCCCGGCUAACUCCGUGCCAGCAGCAGCGGUAAUACGUAGGGGGCAAGCGUUAUACGGAUUUACUGGGUGUAAAGGGAGCGUAGACGUCAGUUCAAGUCUGGAGUGAAAGGCGGGGGCUCAACCCCCGGACUGCUCUUGAAACUGUACGGCUGGAGUGCAGGAGAGGUAAGUGGAAUUCCUAGUGUAGCGGUGAAAUGCGUAGAUAUUAGGAGGAACACCAGUGGCGAAGGCGGCUUACUGGACUGUAACUGACGUUGAGGCUCGAAAGCGUGGGGAGCAAACAGGAUUAGAUACCCGUGUAGUC
RNAcentral lists this ribosomal RNA (440 nucleotides) under uncultured bacterium. RNAcentral describes it as "partial 16S ribosomal RNA". It matches the Rfam family "Bacterial small subunit ribosomal RNA", at positions 338 to 795 of the family's 1533-position model. The record is from RNAcentral.